This 379-nucleotide long non-coding RNA is filed under the name Olea europaea (common olive). RNAcentral's name for it is "long non-coding RNA (OEUR_LNC014494)". The record is from RNAcentral. Lineage: Eukaryota; Viridiplantae; Streptophyta; Magnoliopsida; Lamiales; Oleaceae.
CUCACGAAAGCACACACUUACACGCUGAGUGCGUGGGUACUAAAUCGGCAAUUGAAAAGAACAAAUAGAGCUCAAAAAGCUUUUGAAGAUACAGAAAAUCGAACAGGGAAGAAGAAAUUAAAGGAAAUUUUGGAAUAAUUGAAUACCAGAUCGAGGAAGUAGGUGGUGAUUAAACAGUUCAAAUACUUCGAUUGGAGUGAGAGAAGAGCCAAACGAUUCGGAAUUCGAAUUUCUUCAUCGGAGAGUGAUCUCCAACCUGAUUUUAGUUUUCCCUAGGACCAUCUCCCCGGUACUUCUUCAAUUUCCCCUUUAUAAUCGGUGUAUGUUGUUUAUUUUAUUUAUAAAAUUAGAUUUACUCUUGAUUUUUGGAACUUUUCAC